Molecule: ribosomal RNA, 469 nt
Filed under: uncultured bacterium
Lineage: Bacteria
Description: partial 16S ribosomal RNA
Rfam family: Bacterial small subunit ribosomal RNA
Source: RNAcentral
GAUGAACGCUGGCGGCGUGCUUAACACAUGCAAGUCGAACGGUGAACACGGAGCUUUCUCUGUCGGAUCAGUGGCGAACGGGUGAGUAACACGUGAGCAACCUGCCCCUGACACUGGGAUAAGCGCUCGGAACAGCGGCUAUUACUGGAGAUGUUACGUUACCGCAUAGUCUGCGUUUGUAAAGAUCGUUCGGGUGGUGAUGGUCUCACGGCCUAUCAGCUUGUUGGUGAGUUAAUGGCUUACCAAGGCAUCGACGGGUCGCCGGCCUGAGAGCGGGACCGGCGACACUGGGACUGAGAGAGGGCGCAGUCGCCAACGGGCCGCAGCAGUGGGGAAUAUUGCGCAAUGGGCGCAAGCCUGAUGCAGCAGCGCCGCGUGAGGGAUGACGGGCUUCGAGUUGUAAACAUCUUUGAGAGGGGAAGAAGCGAAAGUGACGGUACCUGAAGAAAAAGCGCCGGCUAACUACGUG